UUACAUGCCUGUUUAUAAAUAGUAGCUAGCUGGCUACAUGUCAGGCUAGUCUGGUCUAUGCUUACUACGCUACAGAAGAUGAAGCAAACAUGUCUCUCUAUGAAUGGCAAUAGAUUGAACUACUCAGGAGAAUAAAAAAUUACUGACAAAAUGGCGAGUUCAUCCAAUGAAGAGAAUACACGAGCUGGAGAAUACACGUCUGUUGUUCAACCUAUGUGAAUCAAUGACGAGGAAAGACAUGUUCAAUACUUCUGGAUGUCGGAUGCCAGAUUUGACGACUUGCAUCAGCGGCUUCCCCCUAACCUCUAGCACGAGAGAACUCACAGCUUGACCGUCAUUGCUUCAGGAGGGCUGUCUUUGACCCGUUUUUUUGCCAGUGGCAGCACACAUAAGUGUGCCAAGGCAAUCUGGCAUGUCCUGAAGGAGGAUUUUGUUGCUUAUCCCUCUGUGGCAAAAAAUGGGCUUCACCAUGGUCGACGUGAACGCAUAGCCGGGAGGGAGAUGCAGGAAUCUUUUCCCGAGGCAAAUUGGGCUCCCAACUCAUUACAGGCCAUCUGCCACUACCAAGGCCAGAGAGCUUCCCGGGGACCCAAACACAGAGCCCAUGUUUUCGUGGAAGACGAGGCAUUACCUCUGAUGGUAAACCUAAUGCGACCAUAUUCAGAUUCUUCUGGCUUUAAUGACGCCAAGAAGAUCUACAACUAUCACCAUUCAAUAGCCAGAAGAAUUUCAGAGAACUGCUUUGGGAUCCUUGCUGCAAGAUGGAGGAUCCUGAGACGAGCCCUUGAGGUUGCCCCAGCUGGUCAAGUGCCUUUCCAGGAUGCUGCGAUCACGUGUGGCAGCCUACAGUAAAUGUU
This is a non-coding RNA of Salvelinus sp. IW2-2015, 857 nucleotides long. The record is from RefSeq and is a predicted model, not a curated record. Lineage: Eukaryota; Metazoa; Chordata; Actinopteri; Salmoniformes; Salmonidae.